This 465-nucleotide ribosomal RNA is filed under the name uncultured bacterium. Its description in RNAcentral is "bacterial SSU rRNA". It matches the Rfam family "Bacterial small subunit ribosomal RNA", at positions 339 to 796 of the family's 1533-position model. The record is from RNAcentral.
CUACGGGAGGCAGCAGUGGGGAAUAUUGGACAAUGGGGGCAACCCUGAUCCAGCAAUGCCGCGUGUGUGAAGAAGGCCUGCGGGUUGUAAAGCACUUUCAGUGGGGAAGAAAAGCUGCAAGCUAAUACCUUGUAGUGUUGCCAUUACCCACAGAAGAAGCACCGGCUAACUCCGUGCCAGCAGCCGCGGUAAUACGGAGGGUGCGAGCGUUAAUCGGAAUUACUGGGCGUAAAGCGCGCGUAGGCGGCAAGCUAAGCCUGAUGUGAAAGCCCUGGGCUUAACCUGGGAAUGGCAUUGGAUACUGGCUAGCUCGAGUGUGUUAGAGGGUGGCGGAAUUCCCGGUGUAGCGGUGAAAUGCGUAGAGAUCGGGAGGAACAUCGAUGGCGAAGGCAGCCACCUGGGACAACACUGACGCUGAGGUGCGAAAGCGUGGGGAGCAAACAGGAUUAGAUACCCCGGUAGUCC